RNAcentral lists this ribosomal RNA (505 nucleotides) under uncultured bacterium. RNAcentral describes it as "partial 16S ribosomal RNA". It matches the Rfam family "Bacterial small subunit ribosomal RNA", at positions 28 to 507 of the family's 1533-position model. The record is from RNAcentral.
GACGAACGCUGGCGGCGUGCCUAAUACAUGCAAGUAGAACGCACAGUUUAUACCGUAGCUUGCUACACCAUAGACUGUGAGUUGCGAACGGGUGAGUAACGCGUAGGUAACCUGCCUGGUAGCGGGGGAUAACUAUUGGAAACGAUAGCUAAUACCGCAUAAUAUUAAUUAUUGCAUGAUAAUUAAUUGAAAGGUGCAAUUGCACCACUACCAGAUGGACCUGCGUUGUAUUAGCUAGUAGGUGAGGUAACGGCUCACCUAGGCGACGAUACAUAGCCGACCUGAGAGGGUGAUCGGCCACACUGGGACUGAGACACGGCCCAGACUCCUACGGGAGGCAGCAGUAGGGAAUCUUCGGCAAAGGACGAAAGUCUGACCGAGCAACGCCGCGUGAGUGAAGAAGGGUUUCGGAUCGUAAAGCUCUGUUGUAAGAGAAGAACGGGUGUGAGAGUGGAAAGUUCACACUGUGACGGUAUCUUACCAGAAAGGGACGGCUAACUACGUG